AGAGUUUGAUCAUGGCUCAGGAUGAACGCUAGCGGCAGGCUUAACACAUGCAAGUCGAGGGGUAACAGGGUGCUUGCACCGCUGACGACCGGCGCACGGGUGCGUAACGCGUAUACAAUCUACCCUAUAGAGGGGGAUAGCCCAGAGAAAUUUGGAUUAAUACCCCAUAGUACUUAGAGACAGCAUUGUUUUUAGGUUAAACAUUUAUGGCUAUAAGAUGAGUAUGCGUCCUAUUAGUUAGUUGGUAAGGUAACGGCUUACCAAGACCGCGAUAGGUAGGGGUCCUGAGAGGGAGAUCCCCCACACUGGUACUGAGACACAGACCAGACUCCUACGGGAGGCAGCAGUGAGGAAUAUUGGACAAUGGGCGAGAGCCUGAUCCAGCCAUGCCGCGUGCAGGAAGACGGCCCUAUGGGUUGUAAACUGCUUUUAUACGGGAAGAAACACCUCUUCGUGAAGACGCUUGACGGUACCGUAAGAAUGAGGAUCGGCUAACUCCGUGCCAGCAGCCGCGGUAAUACGGAGGAUCCAAGCGUUAUCCGGAAUCAUUGGGUUUAAAGGGUCCGUAGGCGGGACAAUAAGUCAGCGGUGAAAGUCUGUGGCUCAACCAUAGAAUUGCCAUUGAUACUGUUGUUCUUGAGUGUUUAUGAAGUGGUUAGAAUAUGUAGUGUAGCGGUGAAAUGCUUAGGUAUUACAUGGAAUACCGAUUGCGAAGGCAGAUCACUAAUAAAAUACUGACGCUGAUGGACGAAAGCGUAGGUAGCGAACAGGAUUAGAUACCCUGGUAGUCUACGCCGCAAACGAUGGUUACUAGCUGUUCGGAAGCAAAUCUGAGUGGCUAAGCGAAAGUGAUAAGUAACCCACCUGGGGAGUACGUUCGCAAGAAUGAAACUCAAAGGAAUUGACGGG
RNAcentral lists this ribosomal RNA (909 nucleotides) under uncultured bacterium. RNAcentral describes it as "bacterial SSU rRNA". It matches the Rfam family "Bacterial small subunit ribosomal RNA", at positions 8 to 917 of the family's 1533-position model. The record is from RNAcentral.